GACGAACGCUGGCGGCGUGCUUAACACAUGCAAGUCGAACGGAACGUCCCUGCUUUUUUGCGGUGCUCGAGUGGCGACCUGGUGACUAACACUUGAGUUCCCUGCCCUUUACUUUGGGAUAACUUCAUGAAACUGGGUCUAAUACCGGAUAGGAUCUCCUGCUGCAUGGUGGUCGUUGGAUAGUUUCGGCGGUUGGGGAUGGACUCGCGUCGUAUCAGCUUGUUGCUGGGGUAGUGUCUUACCAAGGCUUUGACCGGUAGCCGGCCUGAGAGGCUGACCGGCUACAUUGGGACUGAGAUGCGGCACAGACUACUACGGGAGGCAGCAGUGGGGAAUAGUGCACAAUGGGAGGAAGCAUGAUGCAGCAACGCCGCGUGGGGGAUGAGGGCCUUCGGGUUGUAAACCGCUGUCGCCUGUGACGAAGCGUGAGUGACGGUAAUGGGUAAAGAAGCACCGGCUAACUACGUG
RNAcentral lists this ribosomal RNA (468 nucleotides) under uncultured bacterium. RNAcentral's name for it is "partial 16S ribosomal RNA". It matches the Rfam family "Bacterial small subunit ribosomal RNA", at positions 28 to 507 of the family's 1533-position model. The record is from RNAcentral.